Molecule: ribosomal RNA, 443 nt
Filed under: uncultured bacterium
Lineage: Bacteria
Description: partial 16S ribosomal RNA
Rfam family: Bacterial small subunit ribosomal RNA
Source: RNAcentral
CCUACGGGAGGCAGCAGUGGGGAAUAUUGGGCAAUGGGCGCAAGCCUGACCCAGCAACGCCGCGUGAAGGAAGAAGGCUUUCGGGUUGUAAACUUCUGUUAUCAGGGACGAAGCAAGUGACGGUACCUGACGAAUAAGCCACGGCUAACUACGUGCCAGCAGCCGCGGUAAUACGUAGGUGGCAAGCGUUAUCCGGAUUUACUGGGCGUAAAGGGCGUGUAGGCGGGAGUGCAAGUCAGAUGUGAAAACUAUGGGCUCAACCCAUAGCCUGCAUUUGAAACUGUACUUCUUGAGUGCUGGAGAGGCAAUCGGAAUUCCGAGUGUAGCGGUGAAAUGCGUAGAUAUACGGAGGAACAUCAGAGGCGAAGGCGGAUUGCUGGACAAUAACUGACGCUGAGGCGCGAAAGCGUGGGGAGCAAACAGGAUUAGAUACCCUUGUAGUC